Molecule: transfer RNA, 76 nt
Filed under: Burkholderiales bacterium
Lineage: Bacteria; Pseudomonadati; Pseudomonadota; Betaproteobacteria; Burkholderiales
Also listed under: 4 other names
Description: tRNA-Thr
Rfam family: tRNA
About the family: Transfer RNA (tRNA) molecules are approximately 80 nucleotides in length. Their secondary structure includes four short double-helical elements and three loops (D, anti-codon, and T loops).
Source: RNAcentral
GCCGGCAUAGCUCAGCUGGUAGAGCAACCGCCUUGUAAGCGGUAGGUCGUCUGUUCGAGUCAGACUGUCGGCACCA